GCUUCUCUUGAGAGCGGCGGACGGGUGAGUAAUGCCUAGGAAUCUGCCUGGUAGUGGGGGAUAACGUUCGGAAACGGACGCUAAUACCGCAUACGUCCUACGGGAGAAAGCAGGGGACCUUCGGGCCUUGCGCUAUCAGAUGAGCCUAGGUCGGAUUAGCUAGUUGGUGAGGUAAUGGCUCACCAAGGCGACGAUCCGUAACUGGUCUGAGAGGAUGAUCAGUCACACUGGAACUGAGACACGGUCCAGACUCCUACGGGAGGCAGCAGUGGGGAAUAUUGGACAAUGGGCGAAAGCCUGAUCCAGCCAUGCCGCGUGUGUGAAGAAGGUCUUCGGAUUGUAAAGCACUUUAAGUUGGGAGGAAGGGCAGUUACCUAAUACGUGAUUGUUUUGACGUUACCGACAGAAUAAGCACCGGCUAACUCUGUGCCAGCAGCCGCGGUAAUACAGAGGGUGCAAGCGUUAAUCGGAAUUACUGGGCGUAAAGCGCGCGUAGGUGGUUAGUUAAGUUGGAUGUGAAAUCCCCGGGCUCAACCUGGGAACUGCAUUCAAAACUGACUGACUAGAGUAUGGUAGAGGGUGGUGGAAUUUCCUGUGUAGCGGUGAAAUGCGUAGAUAUAGGAAGGAACACCAGUGGCGAAGGCGACCACCUGGACUGAUACUGACACUGAGGUGCGAAAGCGUGGGGAGCAAACAGGAUUAGAUACCCUGGUAGUCCACGCCGUAAACGAUGUCAACUAGCCGUUGGGAGCCUUGAGCUCUUAGUGGCGCAGCUAACGCAUUAAGUUGACCGCCUGGGGAGUACGGCCGCAAGGUUAAAACUCAAAUGAAUU
This 833-nucleotide ribosomal RNA is filed under the name Pseudomonas veronii. RNAcentral's name for it is "bacterial SSU rRNA". It matches the Rfam family "Bacterial small subunit ribosomal RNA", at positions 82 to 911 of the family's 1533-position model. Lineage: Bacteria; Pseudomonadati; Pseudomonadota; Gammaproteobacteria; Pseudomonadales; Pseudomonadaceae. The record is from RNAcentral.